This 253-nucleotide ribosomal RNA is filed under the name uncultured bacterium. RNAcentral's name for it is "partial 16S ribosomal RNA". It matches the Rfam family "Bacterial small subunit ribosomal RNA", at positions 524 to 776 of the family's 1533-position model. The record is from RNAcentral.
UACAGAGGGUGCGAGCGUUAAUCGGAAUUACUGGGCGUAAAGCGUGCGUAGACGGUAGCGUAAGUCAGAUGUGAAAGCCCCGGGCUCAACCUGGGAAUUGCAUUUGAGACUGCUCUGCUCGGGUGCGGAAGAGGGAAGCGGAAUUUCCGGUGUAGCGGUGAAAUGCGUAGAUAUCGGAAGGAACACCAGUGGCGAAAGCGGCUUCCUGGUCCGAACCCGACGUUCAGGCACGAAAGCGUGGGGAGCAAACAGG